This 480-nucleotide ribosomal RNA is filed under the name uncultured bacterium. RNAcentral's name for it is "partial 16S ribosomal RNA". It matches the Rfam family "Bacterial small subunit ribosomal RNA", at positions 28 to 506 of the family's 1533-position model. The record is from RNAcentral.
GAUGAACGCUGGCGGCGUGCUUAACACAUGCAAGUCGAACGAAGCAUUUGCGACAGAUUUUUUCGGAAUGAAGUUGCUUAUGACUGAGUGGCGGACGGGUGAGUAACGCGUGGGUAACCUGCCUUGUACUGGGGGAUAGCAGCUGGAAACGGCUGGUAAUACCGCAUAAGCGCACAAUGUUGCAUGACAUGGUGUGAAAAACUCCGGUGGUAUAAGAUGGACCCGCGUCUGAUUAGCUAGUUGGUGAGAUAGCAGCCCACCAAGGCGACGAUCAGUAGCCGACCUGAGAGGGUGACCGGCCACAUUGGGACUGAGACACGGCCCAGACUCCUACGGGAGGCAGCAGUGGGGAAUAUUGCACAAUGGAGGAAACUCUGAUGCAGCGACGCCGCGUGAGUGAAGAAGUAAUUCGUUAUGUAAAGCUCUAUCAGCAGGGAAGAUAGUGACGGUACCUGACUAAGAAGCUCCGGCUAAAUACGU